UACGUAGGGAGCGAGCGUUGUCCGGAAUUACUGGGCGUAAAGGGCGUGUAGGCGGCCGAUCAAGUCAGGUGUGAAAUUCCAGGGCUCAACCCUGGACGUGCACUUGAAACUGGUUUGCUUGAGUGCAGAAGAGGAAAGUGGAAUUCCCAGUGUAGCGGUGAAAUGCGUAGAUAUUGGGAGGAACACCAGUGGCGAAGGCGACUUUCUGGUCUGUAACUGACGCUGAGGCGCGAAAGCUAGGGGAGCAAAC
RNAcentral lists this ribosomal RNA (250 nucleotides) under uncultured bacterium. RNAcentral describes it as "partial 16S ribosomal RNA". It matches the Rfam family "Bacterial small subunit ribosomal RNA", at positions 524 to 773 of the family's 1533-position model. The record is from RNAcentral.